UGGGGAAUUUUGGACAAUGGGGGAAACCCCGAUCCAGCCAUCCCGCGUGUGCGAUGAAGGCCUUCGGGUUGUAAAGCACUUUUGGCAGGAAAGAAAAGUCAUGGGUUAAUACCCCGUGAAACUGACGGUACCUGCAGAAUAAGCACCGGCUAACUACGUGCCAGCAGCCGCGGUAAUACGUAGGGUGCAAGCGUUAAUCGGAAUUACUGGGCGUAAAGCGUGCGCAGGCGGUUCGGAAAGAAAGAUGUGAAAUCCCAGAGCUCAACUUUGGAACUGCAUUUUUGACUGCGGGGCUGGAGUGGGUCAGAGGGAGGUGGAAUUCCGCGUGUAGCAGUGAAAGGCGUAGAUAUGCGGAGGAACAACGAUGGCGAAGGCAGCCUCCUGGGAUAACACUGACGAUCAUGCACGAAAGCGUGGGGAGCAAACAGG
Molecule: ribosomal RNA, 429 nt
Filed under: Acidobacteriota bacterium
Lineage: Bacteria; Pseudomonadati; Acidobacteriota
Description: Acidobacteria bacterium partial 16S ribosomal RNA
Rfam family: Bacterial small subunit ribosomal RNA
Source: RNAcentral